Molecule: ribosomal RNA, 190 nt
Filed under: uncultured rumen bacterium
Lineage: Bacteria
Description: partial 16S ribosomal RNA
Rfam family: Bacterial small subunit ribosomal RNA
Source: RNAcentral
CCUACGGGAGGCAGCAGUGAGGAAUAUUGGUCAAUGGGCGUAAGCCUGAACCAGCCAAGUAGCGUGCAGGAUGACGGCCCUACGGGUUGUAAACUGCUUUUACGGGGGGAUAAACGGCGGGACUUGUCCUGCCCUGCAGGUACCCCGUGAAUAAGGACCGGCUAAUUCCGUGCCAGCAGCCGCGGUAAUA